AGGCGGAUUGGCAAGUGCCUUGUGAAAUCCCACGGCUCAACCGUGGAAUGGCUCGGCAGACUGCCAAUCUUGAACCCGGCAGGGGUCGUCGGAACGGUAGGUGGAGCGGUGAAAUGCGUAGAUAUCUACCGGAACGCCAAUGGCGAAGGCAGGCGACUGGGCCGGCGUUGACGCUCAGGCACGAAAGCGUGGGGAUCAAACAGGAUUAGAUACCCUGGUAGUCCACGCCGUAAACGAUGCGCACUAGGUCGGUGGUCCUUCGACGGAUUGCCGGCCGGAGAGAAAUUAUUAAGUGCGCCGCCUGGGGAGUACGGUCGCAAGGCUAAAACUCAAAGGAAUUGACGGGGGCUCACACAAGCGGUGGAGCAUGUUGCUUAAUUCGAAGCAACGCGAAGAACCUUACCUGGGCUUGACAUGUACGGAUUAGCUCUUGGAAACAUGAGUGACGCCCUCGGGUGGAACGUACACAGGUGCUGCAUGGCUGUCGUCAGCUCGUGCUGUGAAGUGUUGGGUUAAGUCCUUUAACGAGCGCAACCCUUGUCGCUAGUUGCCAGCGCGUUAUGGCGGGGACUCUAGCGAGACUGCCGGUGUCAAACCGGAGGAAGGUGGGGAUGACGUCAAGUCCUCAUGGCCCUUACGCCCAGGGAUGCAAACGUGCUACAAUGGUCGAUACAGAGCGAUGCGAGACCGCGAGGUGGAGCAAAUCGCAAAAAGUCGGCCCCAGUUCGGAUUGCAGUCUGCAACUCGACUGCAUGAAGCCGGAAUCGCUAGUAAUCGGAGAUCAGC
This 786-nucleotide ribosomal RNA is filed under the name uncultured Planctomycetota bacterium. RNAcentral's name for it is "bacterial SSU rRNA". It matches the Rfam family "Bacterial small subunit ribosomal RNA", at positions 573 to 1353 of the family's 1533-position model. The record is from RNAcentral. Lineage: Bacteria; Pseudomonadati; Planctomycetota.